This 253-nucleotide ribosomal RNA is filed under the name uncultured bacterium. RNAcentral describes it as "partial 16S ribosomal RNA". It matches the Rfam family "Bacterial small subunit ribosomal RNA", at positions 524 to 776 of the family's 1533-position model. The record is from RNAcentral.
UACGUAGGGUCCGAGCGUUGUCCGGAAUUAUUGGGCGUAAAGAGCUCGUAGGCGGCUUGUCGCGUCGAAUGUGAAAUCUCAGGGCUCAACUCUGACAUUGCAUUCGAUACGGGCAGGCUAGAGUUCGGUAGGGGAGACUGGAAUUCCUGGUGUAGCGGUGAAAUGCGCAGAUAUCAGGAGGAACACCGGUGGCGAAGGCGGGUCUCUGGGCCGAUACUGACGCUGAGGAGCGAAAGCGUGGGGAGCGAACAGG